RNAcentral lists this transfer RNA (72 nucleotides) under Salmonella phage GEC_vB_MG. It matches the Rfam family "tRNA". Rfam says of the family: Transfer RNA (tRNA) molecules are approximately 80 nucleotides in length. Lineage: Duplodnaviria; Heunggongvirae; Uroviricota; Caudoviricetes. The record is from Rfam by way of RNAcentral.
GACGGGGUAGCUCAGAGGCAGAGCGGUCGGCUGUUAACCGACAGGUCGAGAUUUCAAAAUUCUCCCUCGUCG